UGGCACACCAGCGGUGGAUUUUGCGGCUUAAUUUGACUCAACACGGGAAAACUCACCCGGCCCGGACACUGUUAGGAUUGACAGAUUGAUAACUCUUUCUUGAUUCCGUGGUUGGUGGUGCAUGGCCGUUCUUGGUUGGUGGAGUGAUUUGUCUGGUUGAUUCCGAUAACGAGCGAAACUCUAACCUACUAAAUAAUUUCUGAAUCUUUUAUUUCAGUAAACUUCUUAGAGGCAUAAGCGGUGUGAAACCGCAAGACAGACAACAAUAACAGGUCUGUGAUGCCCUUAGAUGUCCGGGGCUGCACGCGUAAUACACUGGGAGAAUCAGCUGGCCAUCCAUUGCCGAAAGGUAUUGGUAAACCGUUGAAACUCUUUCGUGUCCGGGAUAGGGAAUUGUAAUUAU
Molecule: ribosomal RNA, 403 nt
Filed under: Metarhabditis blumi
Lineage: Eukaryota; Metazoa; Nematoda; Chromadorea; Rhabditida; Rhabditidae
Description: SSU rRNA
Rfam family: Eukaryotic small subunit ribosomal RNA
Source: RNAcentral